UAAUACGGAGGGUGCAAGCGUUAAUCGGAAUUACUGGGCGUAAAGCGCGCGUAGGUGGUUUGUUAAGUGUGAUGUGAAAGCCCAGGGCUUAACCUUGGAACUGCAUCACAUACUGGCAGGCUAGAGUACGGUAGAGGGGGGUAGAAUUCCACGUGUAGCGGUGAAAUGCGUAGAGAUGUGGAGGAAUACCGGUGGCGAAGGCGGCCCCCUGGAUCGAUACUGACGCUGAGGUGCGAAAGCGUGGGGAGCAAACAGG
This 256-nucleotide ribosomal RNA is filed under the name uncultured bacterium. Its description in RNAcentral is "partial 16S ribosomal RNA". It matches the Rfam family "Bacterial small subunit ribosomal RNA", at positions 521 to 776 of the family's 1533-position model. The record is from RNAcentral.